Molecule: long non-coding RNA, 2305 nt
Filed under: Homo sapiens (human)
Lineage: Eukaryota; Metazoa; Chordata; Mammalia; Primates; Hominidae
Description: HSALNT0356160
Source: RNAcentral
UUGCCGCCGUGCGUGUCAUUUUAGGACUUUUUAUGCCUUGCGGGUAAUACUAAUGAUGGUCACAGGGAGGAUAAACGGGGUGGUUUCUUUUUCUAUACUCCAUGUAACUAAUUUCUCAUUCAGGUUAGAAAAUUAUAUGUCUGGUUACUAAUAUUCUUACUGAAUGGUUUCCUUGCAAUGAUGACACCAAAUAAUUAAAACGUACUUGAUUAAGACUUUUGUUGCUGUAGUGUACUAAGAUCAGAUUAAUCUGAGAAGUAAAAUAGUAAUUUUUUGUCCUUUUUUCUUUUCUUGUUUUGAGAGAGACAUUAAAAACGAUUAAAACAAAACAAAACAGGCCAGGUGCGGUGGCUCAUGCCUGUAAUGCCAGCACUUUGGGAGGCUGAGGCGGGUGGAUCGCUUGAGGCUGGGAGUUUGAGACCAGCCUGGCCAACAUGGCAAAAUCGUGUCUCUCCUAAAAAUACAAAAAUUAGCUGGGUGUUGUGGCACGUGCCAGUAAUCCCAGCUACUCAGAAGGCUGAGGCAGGAGAAUCGUUUGAACCUGGGAGGAGGAGGUUGCAGUGAGCUGAGAUCUCACCACUGCACUGCAGUCUGGGUGACAGCAAAACUCUGCCUCAAAAAAAAAAAAGGUUUAACAAAAGCCAAAAGUUGAAUUAGCAGCCUUCUGAUCAUGGGAAUGUAGGAUGUCAACUAAAAAGAACCUCAGAGGUUGGGAAGGCAGAUGAAAAACUGAGGCCCCGAAGUGUUUCAAGACUUGAUUAAAUCACUCAGGUCUGCACUAGGAAGCGAGUUAUGAUGAUGCCCCUAAUCUAUAUGAACCCAAAUAAAGCCAAAACACACACACCUUUUAAGGAUAAAACUAUAUUCCAUUAAAAUUAGCCCCGCAUUUGUCAAUAUCUAACAGCAUUGGACUGACCCUCAGGCCAGAGGCUGUAGCUCUUGGAAGAUCCUAGCCAGGAGGUUUGAGAGUGGCCAGUACCUCGGAAGUGCUGGCUCACUCUGACAUCAUCAGAACCUGGCAUACAGUAGGCGCUCAUUGGGUAUUUGCUAUGGAAAUUAGGCAGGAAAGUGCGUCUGUGUCUGGAAACAAAGAGGCAAAGCUUAAGCAGUGAUCCCCAUGCAGAUUCUUUCUGCAAACUACAAAACAGAAGCUUCCCUAGUUCAGACUGCCAUCCAUCUGGCUCUUUCUCCAAUUGUUUUUCAGCGGAUCCUGUUACAGUGCAAAGAAGAAAUGGCAAACGGAUAACAGCUACUGUGCCUAGAAGAUGGUUCUGCCCUGAUGUUUCCUGGAAUAAUGCUGAGGACUGCCUUUCGGGUAGCCGCCCUAUUCAGUUCACUUCAUCUCGGAAAUACCUGACCCCUGCCUUGGAUCCAGCGGCCCUCCUGAGAGCUGAGGAAGGAGGAAAUCCUAUGUGUCUGCUCCCGGAGCUGCCACAACCCAUCUUCCCACAACUCGGAACUUGGAAAAAGGAACCCAGGACACGACUUUGCUUUUCUUUUGGACCUAGUUGAUACAAGUUAACAGGAUAUGCUUCUGGCCUGUUUCUGGAUUCUAAGGGUAGAACCAGCAUAAAACUAGUCAGUCCAAGUAUUUCUAAAGAUCCACAGACACAGUUCUCCUGGAUUUGGGAAGCCUAGAGAUAUUAGCACAAUAAUUAAGGCCCAACAACUUUUAAAAGCCUUUCCACUGCACAGUGAAAGAAAACCACAAACUCCUUGUUUAAUAAGUGGGAUCACGUGCUUUUAACACGAGGAAAAGGUCAAUCUGAAGCAACUGAUAUGGAACUGCCAGAGUAGGAGUUGAAAAUCUUCCUAAACUGCUGGAGGAUACACCUCUGAUAGCUUGAGACAAAUAUCCUCUUGAUCAUUGUUUCACCAUAUUUGUCUUUGCUCAUGGAGAACCAUUUUGAUCCGUGGUUUAGCCUCCCAGGUGAUUGAACAAUACCGGUGAUCUGAGGCAGACCCUCUGUGACGGAUAACAGAAAAGAAAAUUGAGGAUCAGAAAAUACGCACAAUUUGCAAAAACCAUGGGAAAGAAUAUUGAUUGAACAUCUACUCAAGAACUGCAAAACAGAGAUUACCUGACCUAAAGCAUUUAUAUUGCCAAUCAUGUUGGAGAGUCCAUGUGGUGAUUUCUGAAAACGAGAUGUGAGAAAGAAGAGGAUAAUUUAAGUCUAGACCUACAGAUUGUGCUGAUAAAGUGAUGAAGAACUACAAUCUUCUUAGUCAUUUCAUUGUAUAAGUGCAAUAAAGGUGUGAGAACAGAGGAGAAGCCUGGUUUGAGUGAGUUUUUCCUGAAGCAAAA